This 460-nucleotide ribosomal RNA is filed under the name uncultured bacterium. Its description in RNAcentral is "partial 16S ribosomal RNA". It matches the Rfam family "Bacterial small subunit ribosomal RNA", at positions 338 to 795 of the family's 1533-position model. The record is from RNAcentral.
CCUACGGGUGGCAGCAGUGAGGAAUAUUGGUCAAUGGACGAGAGUCUGAACCAGCCAAGCCGCGUGAAGGAAGAAUGCCCUAUGGGUUGUAAACCUCUUUUAUAUGGGAACAAAAUGUACCACGAGUGCCCUUUUGUGUGUACCUUACGAAUAAGGAUCGGCUAACUCCGUGCCAGCAGCCGCGGUAAUACGGAGGGUUCGAGCGUUAACCGGAUUUGUUGGGUGUAAAGGGCGCGUAGGUGGUGUGUUAAGUCAGUUGUGAAAGGUCGGGGCUCAACCGCAGCAUCGCCGUUGAUACUGGCAGUCUUGAGUAGGGUAGAGGGAGGCGGAAUUCGUGGUGUAGCGGUGAAAUGCUUAGAUAUCGCGAAGAACUCCGAUUGCGAAGGCAGCUCGCUGGACUGCAACUGACGCUGAGGCACGAAAGCGUGGGUAUCGAACAGGAUUAGAUACCCGUGUAGUC